AUUGAACGCUGGCGGCAUGCCUUACACAUGCAAGUCGAACGGCAGCGCGGGAGCAAUCCUGGCGGCGAGUGGCGAACGGGUGAGUAAUAUAUCGGAACGUGCCCAGUAGUGGGGGAUAGCCCGGCGAAAGCCGGAUUAAUACCGCAUACGACCUGAGGGUGAAAGCGGGGGAUCGCAAGACCUCGCGCUACUGGAGCGGCCGAUAUCAGAUUAGCUAGUUGGUGGGGUAAAGGCCUACCAAGGCAACGAUCUGUAGUUGGUCUGAGAGGACGACCAGCCACACUGGGACUGAGACACGGCCCAGACUCCUACGGGAGGCAGCAGUGGGGAAUUUUGGACAAUGGGCGCAAGCCUGAUCCAGCAAUGCCGCGUGCAGGAAGAAGGCCUUCGGGUUGUAAACUGCUUUUGUCAGGGAAGAAAUCUUCUGGGCUAAUAUCCCGGGAGGAUGACGUACCUGAAGAAUAAGCACCG
Molecule: ribosomal RNA, 471 nt
Filed under: Leptothrix sp. oral taxon 025
Lineage: Bacteria; Pseudomonadati; Pseudomonadota; Betaproteobacteria; Burkholderiales; Sphaerotilaceae
Description: bacterial SSU rRNA
Rfam family: Bacterial small subunit ribosomal RNA
Source: RNAcentral